AAAGUCGUAACAAGGUUUCCGUAGGUGAACCUGCGGAAGGAUCAUUACCGAAUGAACUGCACCUUCUUGUAGCAGAACCAUUGCCCAUGGCCGGAUGAUCAGAUCUGACAAAUGUCACCGGAGGUUGGCCUAUUCCGAAUGGUUUCUGGUUGCUGCACGGCACUGCUCAACGCUAACACCUGGGGGGGGCUUUGGUGGGACCAUUUUGGCCAUGCUGGAUGUUGGAUGUUGGAUGUGCGGUCUCUGGGCCCUUUGGUCUGCUACGCUUAUCAAACCCGUCGUUGUAUGUAUGGUGGGGUGGCAUCCACCUUUUGUUGGGUUGCCCCUCAAGUAUGUAAACAUGAAUAUAACUUUCAACAACGGAUCUCUUGGCUCUC
Molecule: unclassified non-coding RNA, 377 nt
Filed under: Basidiomycota sp.
Lineage: Eukaryota; Fungi; Basidiomycota
Description: partial contains small subunit ribosomal RNA, internal transcribed spacer 1, and 5.8S ribosomal RNA
Rfam family: Eukaryotic small subunit ribosomal RNA (bases 1-47)
Source: RNAcentral